This is a non-coding RNA of Ictidomys tridecemlineatus (thirteen-lined ground squirrel), 70 nucleotides long. NCBI's taxonomy places the organism in Eukaryota, Metazoa, Chordata, Mammalia, Rodentia, Sciuridae. The record is from Rfam.
GGGGAUAUAGCUCAGUUGGUAGAGUGCUUGCCUUGCAUGCACAAGGCCCUGGGUUCAAUCCCCAGCACCA